UACAGAGGGUGCGAGCGUUAUUCGGAAUUACUGGGCGUAAAGCGCAUGUAGGUGGAGAAUCAAGUCAGGUGUGAAAUCCCGGGGCUUAACUUCGGAAUGGCACUUGAGACUGAUUUUCUAGAGUCUGGGAGAGGGAAGUGGAAUUUCAGGUGUAGAGGUGAAAUUCGUAGAUAUCUGAAGGAACACCGGAGGCGAAGGCGGCUUCCUGGUCCAGAACUGACACUCAGAUGCGAAAGCGUGGGUAG
Molecule: ribosomal RNA, 245 nt
Filed under: uncultured bacterium
Lineage: Bacteria
Description: partial 16S ribosomal RNA
Rfam family: Bacterial small subunit ribosomal RNA
Source: RNAcentral